GACGAACGCUGGCGGCGUGCUUAACACGUGCAAGUCGAACGGAAAGGCCCUGCUUUUGUGGGGUGCUCGAGUGGCGAACGGGUGAGUAACACGUGAGUAACCUGCCCUCGACUUUGGGAUAACUUCAGGAAACUGGGGCUAAUACCGGAUAGGAGCUCCUGCUGCAUGGUGGGGGUUGGAAAGUUUCGGCGGUUGGGGAUGGACUCGCGGCUUAUCAGCUUGUUGGUGGGGUAGUGGCCUACCAAGGCUUUGACGGGUAGCCGGCCUGAGAGGGUGACCGGCCACAUUGGGACUGAGAUACGGCCCAGACUCCUACGGGAGGCAGCAGUGGGGAAUAUUGCACAAUGGGCGGAAGCCUGAUGCAGCAACGCCGCGUGCGGGAUGACGGCCUUCGGGUUGUAAACCGCUUUCGCCUGUGACGAAGCGUGAGUGACGGUAAUGGGUAAAGAAGCACCGGCUAACUACGUG
RNAcentral lists this ribosomal RNA (468 nucleotides) under uncultured bacterium. RNAcentral describes it as "partial 16S ribosomal RNA". It matches the Rfam family "Bacterial small subunit ribosomal RNA", at positions 28 to 507 of the family's 1533-position model. The record is from RNAcentral.